GGGGAUAUAGCUCAGUUGGUUGAGUGCUUGCCUCACAUGCACCAAGAUCCUGGGUUCAAUCCCCCGUGCCACCA
RNAcentral lists this transfer RNA (74 nucleotides) under Urocitellus parryii (Arctic ground squirrel). Its description in RNAcentral is "Spermophilus parryii (Arctic ground squirrel) tRNA". It matches the Rfam family "tRNA". Rfam says of the family: Transfer RNA (tRNA) molecules are approximately 80 nucleotides in length. Their secondary structure includes four short double-helical elements and three loops (D, anti-codon, and T loops). RNAcentral also lists the same sequence under 2 other names. The record is from Rfam by way of RNAcentral. Lineage: Eukaryota; Metazoa; Chordata; Mammalia; Rodentia; Sciuridae.